GCCCCCGUAGCCCAAUAGGCAGAGGCAGCAGACUUAAAAUCUGCACAGUGUGGGUUCGAAUCCCACCGGGGGCA
This 74-nucleotide transfer RNA is filed under the name Phytoactinopolyspora halophila. It matches the Rfam family "tRNA". From Rfam's summary of the family: Transfer RNA (tRNA) molecules are approximately 80 nucleotides in length. Their secondary structure includes four short double-helical elements and three loops (D, anti-codon, and T loops). Further hydrogen bonds mediate the characteristic L-shaped molecular structure. tRNAs have two regions of fundamental functional importance: the anti-codon, which is responsible for specific mRNA codon recognition, and the 3' end, to which the tRNAs corresponding amino acid is attached (by aminoacyl-tRNA synthetases). tRNAs cope with the degeneracy of the genetic code in two manners: having more than one tRNA (with a specific anti-codon) for a particular amino acid; and 'wobble' base-pairing, i.e. permitting non-standard base-pairing at the 3rd anti-codon position. The record is from Rfam by way of RNAcentral. RNAcentral also lists the same sequence under 1 other name. Lineage: Bacteria; Bacillati; Actinomycetota; Actinomycetes; Jiangellales; Jiangellaceae.